CAAGAAUGAAAGACUGCCAU
RNAcentral lists this unclassified non-coding RNA (20 nucleotides) under Mus musculus (house mouse). RNAcentral describes it as "oocyte_clustered_small_RNA8673". Lineage: Eukaryota; Metazoa; Chordata; Mammalia; Rodentia; Muridae. The record is from RNAcentral.